Molecule: ribosomal RNA, 770 nt
Filed under: Lysinibacillus sp.
Lineage: Bacteria; Bacillati; Bacillota; Bacilli; Caryophanales; Bacillaceae
Description: bacterial SSU rRNA
Rfam family: Bacterial small subunit ribosomal RNA
Source: RNAcentral
AUAACGGCGUCGAGCGGCGGACGGGUGAGUAAUGCCUAGGAAAUUGCCCUGAUGUGGCUGGAUAACCUCCUUAUACCGAAUAAUCCCUUGUACCUCCUGGUACGGCUCUGAAAGACGGUUUCGGCUGUCACUACGACAUGGGCCCGCGGCGCAUUAUCUAGUUGGUAAGGUAACGGCUUACCACGGCAACGAUGCGUAUCCAACCUGAGAGGGUGAUCGGCCACACUGGGACUGAGACACGGCCCCUACUCCUACCGGAGGCAGCAAAUUGGAAUCUUCCGCAAUGGACCAGAGUCUGAUGGACCAACGGCACGAGAGUGAACAAGGUUUUCGGAUCUUAUUAUUCUGUUGUAAAGGAAGAACCAGUACGUGAGUAACUGCGCGUACCUUGACGGUACCUUAUUAGAAAGCCACGGCUAACUACGUGCCAGCAGCCGCGGUAAUACGUAAGUGGCAAGCGUUGUCCGGUAUUAUUGGGCGUAGAGCGCGCGCAUGCGGUCCUUUAAGUCUGAUGUGAAAGCCCACGGCUCAACCGUGGAUGGUCAUUGGACACUGGGGGACUUGAGUGAAGGAGAGGUUAGUGGAAUUCCAAGUGUAACGUUGAUAUGCGUAUAGAUGUGGAGGAACACCAGUGGCGAACGCGACUAACUGGACUGUAACUGACACUGAAGCGCGAAAGCGUGAGGAGCAAACAGGAUUAGAUACCCUGGUAGUCCACGCCGAUGACGAUGAGUGCUAAGUGUUAUGGGGUUUCCGCCCCUUAGUGCUGC